UCAAUCAACAAAACCAUAUGGCUCUUCACUACUACAAGUAGUUCAUUUUAUUUCAUAAUAACACCCUUUCCGAUUUUGAUCUUACCAUUUCUCUCAAACAAACAAGAGAGUGUAGCGAGCGAGAGAUUCGAGCUGGCGGCUAAGAACGUUUCCGUUGAUGAAGAGGAGCAGCACAGCGUCACGCUGCUACCUGAUAUUGACGAAGAUGUUCCAAUUCAAAUCCCAAACACUGCUCAUCAAAUCAGCACUG
This is a non-coding RNA of Vicia faba (fava bean), 250 nucleotides long. Lineage: Eukaryota; Viridiplantae; Streptophyta; Magnoliopsida; Fabales; Fabaceae. The record is from the annotation of a GenBank genome assembly.